This 69-nucleotide transfer RNA is filed under the name Urocitellus parryii (Arctic ground squirrel). RNAcentral's name for it is "Spermophilus parryii (Arctic ground squirrel) tRNA". It matches the Rfam family "tRNA". From Rfam's summary of the family: Transfer RNA (tRNA) molecules are approximately 80 nucleotides in length. Their secondary structure includes four short double-helical elements and three loops (D, anti-codon, and T loops). The record is from Rfam by way of RNAcentral. Lineage: Eukaryota; Metazoa; Chordata; Mammalia; Rodentia; Sciuridae. RNAcentral also lists the same sequence under 1 other name.
GGAGUUGUAGCUCAGUGGUAGAGCGCUUGCCUAGCAUGCAUGAGACACUGGGUUCAACCCUCAACACCA